GACGAACGCUGGCGGCGUGCUUAACACAUGCAAGUCGAACGGAAAGGCCCUGCUUUUGUGGGGUUCUCGAGUGGCGAACGGGUGAGUAACACGUGAGUAACCUGCCCUUGACUUUGUGAUAACUUCAGGAAACUGGGGCUAAUACCGGAUAGGAGCUCCUGCUGCAUGGUGUGGGUUGGAAAGUUUCGGCGGUUGUGGCUAGACUCGCGGCUUAUCAGCUUGUUUGUGUGGUAGUGGCUGCCCAAGGCUUUGACGGGUAGCCCGCCUGAGAGGGUGACCGGGGACAGUACGCCUGCGGGAGGGAGCAGUAGGGUACGGGCGGCAACAGUGGGGAACAUUGCAGAGCGGCGCGGCGCGAGUGAUAGAAGUGUUCCGAUCGUAAUACCCGGCUAUGGGGUGAGAACAGAUUUGGAAGGUGAUGAAGAGUGCUUGACGGUAAUGAAUCAAAAAGCCACGGCUAACUACGUG
RNAcentral lists this ribosomal RNA (468 nucleotides) under uncultured bacterium. RNAcentral's name for it is "partial 16S ribosomal RNA". It matches the Rfam family "Bacterial small subunit ribosomal RNA", at positions 28 to 507 of the family's 1533-position model. The record is from RNAcentral.